Molecule: long non-coding RNA, 926 nt
Organism: Betta splendens (Siamese fighting fish)
Lineage: Eukaryota; Metazoa; Chordata; Actinopteri; Anabantiformes; Osphronemidae
Exons: 3
Source: RefSeq, a predicted model, not a curated record
UUCCUGGAACAGAAAAACAAAACAUGAGUGAUGGUUUGUACUUGUGCUGAUGUACAAUAUUUGACCUGACAGGGGAAAUGUCGCAUUGGGAAAAAGGCAGAAGUAAAAGAAAGCAUAAAGUGGAAGAGUGAUUCACAGUUCUUUACAGAGGCAGGACCCGCACCCAGCUCUACACGUCUCACCAAGGUCUCUCACAGCAGAUUUACAGAACAAAAUGCAGCCAUUCACAUCAUCAAUCAAAGCCUUGGGCAAGUUCUGGAAGCAGGUUGGAUGUUGAGGAGGCUGCAAAGCUACUAAAGAGGCUAUCUACGAUCAAUACUUCAAAGAGCGGAAAUGCCAGCACCUUCCAUCUAAAAAUGGAUCCAGUAGGUGGUAAGAUAAGUCCCAGCCAUCCAUCUUGACCCUUGGCCUUAUGGGAAAUGGAUCAAUUCAGAGUGUGUGUGUGUGUGUGUGUGUGUGUGUGUGUGUGUGUGUGUGUGUGUGUGUGUGUGUGUGUGUGUGUGUGUGUGUGUGCGUGCGCCUAGCAGAGAACGAAACAAAAACGUUGAGAGGAAAAGGAGCUAAUCGGCCUAUUAAAAAGCACAGUGGGAGAACAAUAAUGCCUGCUGGGAAUUAGAGUUUUAAUUGUCUCUGAAGUAGCGAGAGAUCAAUGAGCUUUCCCCGGGUCACAGGGAAAGAGAGGGGGCAUGAGGCACGAACGGAAGGAAAGAAAAGGGGAGGCGAGGUGGUGAGGUGGCAGGGUGCCAGUAUAAAGGGUGGGGGGUGGGGGGAGAACAGUUGGCUACUAUUGAUAAGGUGAGCCGAGGCACUUUAAGUCCUCUGCAGGACAAUUUUUCAGAGUGCUGUAAUUACGUGGCUGACAUUUCUUGUGCAAUUUUAUAAUUUCUUUUAUAAAUCAUGACUGGUGUGUGCUCCGAGGCGGCGGA